Molecule: ribosomal RNA, 460 nt
Filed under: uncultured bacterium
Lineage: Bacteria
Description: partial 16S ribosomal RNA
Rfam family: Bacterial small subunit ribosomal RNA
Source: RNAcentral
CCUACGGGAGGCAGCAGUGAGGAAUAUUGGUCAAUGGGCGGGAGCCUGAACCAGCCAAGUCGCGUGAGGGAAGACGGUCCUAUGGAUUGUAAACCUCUUUAGGCGGGGAGCAAUGCCGGGCACGCGUGCACGGAGGGAGAGUACCCGCAGAAUAAGCAUCGGCUAACUCCGUUCCAGCAGCCGCGGUAAUACGGAGGAUGCGAGCGUUAUCCGGAUUUAUUGGGUUUAAAGGGUGCGUAGGCGGAUUUUUAAGUCAGCGGUAAAAUGUCCGGGCUCAACCCGGGCCGGCCGUUGAAACUGGGGAUCUUGAGUGGGCGAGAAGGAUGCGGAAUGCGUGGUGUAGCGGUGAAAUGCAUAGAUAUCACGCAGAACUCCGAUUGCGAAGGCAGCAUACCGGCGCCCGACUGACGCUGAGGCACGAAAGCGUGGGGAUCGAACAGGAUUAGAUACCCCUGUAGUC